RNAcentral lists this unclassified non-coding RNA (1808 nucleotides) under Hevea brasiliensis (rubber tree). The record is from RNAcentral. Lineage: Eukaryota; Viridiplantae; Streptophyta; Magnoliopsida; Malpighiales; Euphorbiaceae.
UCCUGACCUCCGAAAAAGAAUGCCUAGAUGCAUAUAAUAGCAAAAAUAAGAAGAAAAUAGAAGUAACAAUAAAAAUACCAGCAAAAGGAAAGCAAGCAGAUUGACAUGAACACCAAUCCCACAUUCAGAACAUGACACCUUGAUAGAAAACAAAUGAGAGAUUAAGGAUGACAGAAAGAAGAACAAAAGAAGGUGAGAAAGAGAAGGGAAGGGGGUUAAGGCCCUUAUGCAUUGACCCACUAUGUUUGAUCACGUAAUCAUUAAUAUCUGCAGUUCAAAUUUUGUCCUUACUUUACUUAUAUGGCGCAGUAAGAUGACGGAUAUGCCCCAACCCAACUCACCAUUUUAAUUCUUGACUUAAUAUCCAAAGGCAUAAACAAAAAUGAAUUUUCUGAUGAAAAAACAGAAAGAUCAUUAACUUAUCAGAAACUCAGGAAAAUUCAAGAGCCCAAACUAGUUGAUAGAGGUUUAUAUUCUUCCAACCUUGUAAAAUUCAAGACCUAAAUUCAAGGCAACACAGAAGCUAAAUCAACUAUAGUUUAAUAGUUGGUACGAAUUCAGAUUUCAAUUGUAGUAAAAUAUUCAUUUGCAUAAAAGCUAAACACCAACAAGAGGACUCUCAUAAUUCCUCUAUCGCUUGAGUAUAUAAAGAUUAAUUACUUGUUUGCUCAUUUCAACUGGAAACCAUAAUAGAAUGAGCAAUCUUACUCGUUUCAUUUCAUUCAAAAAUUCUAAAUUAUCAAAAGGAUAUGUACACUCAAAGUUGAAGAGAAACAAAUAUCAGAAUUUCUAUUAGUUCUCAAUUGUUAACAUCAAUAAUAAUAAGCUCUCUAACAAAAUAUGUAGAUGAUAUAGGUAUUUAUUGUGUAAUAACUAGGUCUAUUAGUACUAGGAUUAGAAAUCUCAAAAUAAGAUAAUACUAAACCAAUCUAAUUAAGAAUAUAAAACCAACACUAACUAAGGAAAUACUAAGCCGAAUAAAACCUUUUAAAUAUUCCUAUAUAAUUAAAUUUCCUAAACAAUAGAAAACUAAACUUCUUAUUUUUACAAUGAAAAAUUAAAUCAAAGUAAUUCCUAAAUCUAGGCUUCCUUGACUGCACCAUAAUUAUGAAAAUCAGGUACAGUAUACACCAGUUAUAUGUUGCCCAAAACUUAAUAUAUUAGAUGCCAUAUCUUACCCAAAAACUUGAACCAAUGAAUUGCAGGUCAAUCUCAACCAGAUAUUUGUAUUCCCAUCUUGCUUCCUACUUCCCUACCCGAAGGUGGGACAUGUAACACCUGAUCACUCACACAUGAAUUUCAAAUAUUGAUUUUUGGAUCAAAAAUGCACUCACAAUUACAAAUUUUGCAAUCACCCGUUGUCCAAGUUCAAUUGUUCAAGAUGUAUUGGUCAAUUAUAAUAGCUUGAUUUCAUGAUUUCCAUAUGUUAACACGACCAUGAGUGAAAUAGAGCAGCAAAGGAACCAAGUUCAAAUAAAGAAAUGCCACCUCAUCAAAAAUUCUAAUCCCCCAAGGACAACUCUCUCACAAAAGAAACCACUUCAAAAUACCAAACUACUAGCAUAAAAUGUUACUUUAGACAUAAAAUAUCUUGGAUAAACCACACUCUAACCUAAUGCUAUUUUUUUUACAAUGGCAAUCCAUGAUGUUCCCGCCAAGCAUUGAAAAAAUGUGUACACAUUCAGCAAAUACAGCCUCAUUAAAUAACAAUAUCAUCAAUAAAAUUUGAUAAGGAAGACUGGUAUCAGACGAAAUUUCAAUACAAGGAAGAGCCCAAAAAAGAACCUCCUGGAUUUGAACAGCAGAAC